UACGUAGGGUGCGAGCGUUGUCCGGAAUUAUUGGGCGUAAAGAGCUCGUAGGCGGUGUGUCACGUCGGCCGUGAAAACCUGGGGCUUAACUCUGGGCGUGCGGUCGAUACGGGCAUCACUAGAGUUCGGCAGGGGAGACUGGAAUUCCUGGUGUAGCGGUGAAAUGACGCAGAUAUCAGGAGGAACACCGGUGGCGAAGGCGGGGUCUCUGGGCCGAUACUGACGCUGAGACGCGAAAGCGUGGGGGAGCAAACAGG
This 257-nucleotide ribosomal RNA is filed under the name uncultured bacterium. RNAcentral's name for it is "partial 16S ribosomal RNA". It matches the Rfam family "Bacterial small subunit ribosomal RNA", at positions 524 to 776 of the family's 1533-position model. The record is from RNAcentral.